CCUACGGGUGGCAGCAGUGGGGAAUAUUGGACAAUGGGGGGAACCCUGAUCCAGCCAUGCCGCGUGUGUGAAGAAGGCCCUCGGGUUGUAAAGCACUUUCAGUGAGGAAGAACGCCUGGUGGUUAAUACCCAUCAGGAAAGACAUCACUCACAGAAGAAGCACCGGCUAACUCCGUGCCAGCAGCCGCGGUAAUACGGAGGGUGCGAGCGUUAAUCGGAAUUACUGGGCGUAAAGCGCGCGUAGGUGGCUUGAUAAGCCGGUUGUGAAAGCCCCGGGCUCAACCUGGGAACGGCAUCCGGAACUGUCGAGCUAGAGUGCAGGAGAGGAAGGUAGAAUUCCCGGUGUAGCGGUGAAAUGCGUAGAGAUCGGGAGGAAUACCAGUGGCGAAGGCGGCCUUCUGGACUGACACUGACACUGAGGUGCGAAAGCGUGGGUAGCAAACAGGAUUAGAUACCCUAGUAGUC
RNAcentral lists this ribosomal RNA (465 nucleotides) under Vreelandella stevensii. Its description in RNAcentral is "partial 16S ribosomal RNA". It matches the Rfam family "Bacterial small subunit ribosomal RNA", at positions 338 to 795 of the family's 1533-position model. Lineage: Bacteria; Pseudomonadati; Pseudomonadota; Gammaproteobacteria; Oceanospirillales; Halomonadaceae. The record is from RNAcentral.